GAUGAAGAACGUAGCGAAAUGCGAUACGUAAUGUGAAUUGCAGAAUUCAGUGAAUCAUCGAGUCUUUGAACGCACAUUGCGCCCCCUGGUAUUCCGGGGGGCAUGCCUGUCCGAGCGUCAUUGCUGCCCUCAAGCACGGCUUGUGUGUUGGGUCUCCGUCCUCCUCCCGGGGGACGGGCCCGAAAGGCAGCGGCGGCACCGCGUCCGGUCCUCGAGCGUAUGGGGCUUCGUCACCCGCUCUUGUAGGCCCGGCCGGCGCUUGCCGACACAUCAAUCUUUUUUCCAGGUUGACCUCGGAUCAGGUAGGGAUACCCGCUGAACUUAAGCAUAUCAAUAAGCGGAGGA
Molecule: unclassified non-coding RNA, 345 nt
Filed under: soil metagenome
Description: partial contains 5.8S ribosomal RNA, internal transcribed spacer 2, and large subunit ribosomal RNA
Rfam family: 5.8S ribosomal RNA (bases 1-120)
Source: RNAcentral